UACAGAGGAUGCAAGCGUUAUCCGGAAUGAUUGGGCGUAAAGCGUCUGUAGGUGGCUUUUUAAGUCCGCCGUCAAAUCCCAGGGCUCAACUCUGGACAGGCGGUGGAAACUACCAAGCUGGAGUACGGUAGGGGCAGAGGGAAUUUCCGGUGGAGCGGUGAAAUGCGUAGAGAUCGGGAGGAACACCCGCGGCGAAGGCGGCGACCUGGGCCGACCCUGACGCUGAGGCGCGAAGGCCGGGGGAGCGAACGGG
This 253-nucleotide ribosomal RNA is filed under the name uncultured bacterium. RNAcentral's name for it is "partial 16S ribosomal RNA". It matches the Rfam family "Bacterial small subunit ribosomal RNA", at positions 524 to 776 of the family's 1533-position model. The record is from RNAcentral.